CCCCCCUUGUUUGUUUGUUCAUGUUACAGGUUUCACUGGUCAGGUUGCAGGUUUCACUGGUCAGGUUGCAGGUUUCACUGGUCAGGUUGCAGGUUUCACUGGUCAGGUUGCAGGUUUCACUGGUCAGGUUGCAGGUUUCACUGGUCAGGUUGCAGGUUUCACUGGUCAGGUUGCAGGUUUCACUGGUCAGGUUGCAGGUUUCACUGGUCAGGUUGCAGGUUUCACUGGUCAGGUUGCAGGUUUCACUGGUCAGGUUGCAGGUUUCACUGGUCAGGUUGCAGGUUUCACUGGUCAGGUUGCAGGUUUCACUGGUCAGGUUGCAGGUUUCACUGGUCAGGUUGCAGGUUUCACUGGUCAGGUUGCAGGUUUCACUGGUCAGGUUGCAGGUUUCACUGGUCAGGUUGCAGGUUUCACUGGUCAGGUUGCAGGUUUCACUGGUCAGGUUGCAGGAGCUGAAGGCUGAGACCAAGAGGUUAGCUAGAUAUAUGGUUAUAGUGUGAGUUGGUUGAGAAAAAGCAUUCUGUUGACUAACACCAGUCCAUACAAAUUUGCGCAACCGCGGCCUUCAAACGAGGCUGCAAUGAAAACUAAUGGGACUGUAGUGACUGUGUUGUCAUUCAAGCAUUGAUUGACAUUGUAAUGGCACGAUAGUAUUGGAGAAAAGUAAGGGAAAAACGGACCUCUCUGACACUGUACGUUAAAUUGUGAUGUCGUACAGCCUCUCCACCAGGUGAAGCUCUUCUCUCAUGGAUUAAAAACAGGAAAGGGAUGGGGUAAGGACAGAUACCUAGUCAAUUAACUGAAUAUUAUUUUCUUGCGUCAUCACUGCAAGCCAUCAUGACUCUCAAAAGCCAUGACAGCCGCUGUUUACUUCUGAAGAUAACUUUAGCGCCGCCCUAAAAACUAAAGACUCAAAUUCGACACAAGCCUUCAAAUAGGUAUUUAAUGACACAUAUAAACUCUUUUAUAGUGUUUUAUUUACAUUUUUGAGGUGAUUAAAUUGGACAGUGAUAAAAGCAGUUUCCACACCCGACAUUAUUUAAAAAAAUAAAAAUAA
Molecule: long non-coding RNA, 1057 nt
Organism: Oncorhynchus keta (chum salmon)
Lineage: Eukaryota; Metazoa; Chordata; Actinopteri; Salmoniformes; Salmonidae
Exons: 5
Source: RefSeq, a predicted model, not a curated record